This 531-nucleotide ribosomal RNA is filed under the name uncultured bacterium. RNAcentral's name for it is "bacterial SSU rRNA". It matches the Rfam family "Bacterial small subunit ribosomal RNA", at positions 162 to 688 of the family's 1533-position model. The record is from RNAcentral.
AUUAUUACCGCAUACGUCUUGCGAGAGAAAGUGGGGGACCUUUGGGCCUCACGCUAUACGAGCAGCCGAUGUCUGAUUAGCUAGUUGGUGGGGUAAGAGCCUACCAAGGCGACGAUCAGUAGCGGGUCUGAGAGGAUGAUCCGCCACACUGGGACUGAGACACGGCCCAGACUCCUACGGGAGGCAGCAGUGGGGAAUUUUGGACAAUGGGCGCAACCCUGAUCCAGCCAUGCCGCGUGUCUGAAUUAGGUCUUCGGGUUGUAAAGGACUUUUGUCCGGGAGCAAAUCCCAGUGGUUAAUACCUACUGGGGCUGAGAGUACCGGAAGAAUAAGCACCGGCUAACUACGUGCCAGCAGCCGCGGUAGUACGUAGGGUGCAAGCGUUAAUCGGAAUUACUGGGCGUAAAGCGUGCGCAGGCGGUUGUGCAAGUCUGAUGUGAAAGCCCCGGGCUUAACCUGGGAACGGCAUUGGAGACUGCACGACUAGAGUGCGUCAGAGGGGGGUAGAAUUCCGCGUGUAGCAGUGAAAUG